Molecule: long non-coding RNA, 1874 nt
Filed under: Hordeum vulgare
Lineage: Eukaryota; Viridiplantae; Streptophyta; Magnoliopsida; Poales; Poaceae
Description: long non-coding RNA (HVUL_LNC014274)
Source: RNAcentral
GCUUUCUUCCAUCUGCAAAAGCUGAGAUGGAGAAGGAGAGACACACAAGUUUACAAUUGAAUAAGCUGCUUCCUGAGUGAGAGGUAGAUGCACCAGAUUUACCAAUGAAUAAACUGCUCCAUUAGGCACUAUUUUUCUUUUCUUUCCAAGUGACUGCUGCUCUUCUCUAGUGUAGUUCUCCAGGGCUCACCAAUUUUGUUAGACUGAACCUGAUUUGUAUAUUUGUAUGCAGAUUUCUCAACACUCAGAUUUAUGGAGUCUAAGGUUUGACAUUUAGGGGACUAUGGAUCUUUGGCUUUUGGUGUUGAGAUUGAUGUGCCCCUCGCUAUAUGUAAGUGGUGCUUAUGAUGUCGAUCCUUCUGCUAUGGAUUGUAGUUGGGCUUCACUGCCAUCGCAUUAAUACUAUUGAUGGCAGUGUCCCUGCUGUUGAGAAACCCAUUACGUCAGUUUUGGUGGUAUUUUUGCAUUGCCACUUAUCAAUUGUUUUAUUAUUGUUCUUGUCAAAUAGUUGUAUGCUUGAUAAUUGUUGAUGAUAUCUUAUGGUUGGAAAAGAAAUGUAUUUUUGGGCAAAAUGUCCACAUUCUUACAUAGGUCCAUUGUGGUCCCCUUCGUAGCCUGUUGGUUCUAUUUUUAUCAUAUAUCUUUUUUGUUCUAAGUGUUAAUUGUUGAGUGUCAACGACAUGUGGAUAUUGUUCUUCAGGUUAUUAUGGCUGAAACUUGGAUAAAACUAUGGGCAUACAAAAUACAUAUUUGUUUUUGUUGCCUUAUAAACAUGGUUGUGAACGAACUGAAUAUUGGCAAACAUGUAUAUAUCCAUUUUCACUUACUUUGUUGUUUCUGAAAGUGAAAGGGACAAAGGAUAGCGCAGAGAGCAGAGAACACAUGGGGUAUGUUGAAAUUUUUGGUCGAAUUUACAGUCCAUUAGCUGUCAUAAAUAUAUCACAACUAGCAUGCGUACAUCCUCACAACAUUGAUGAAGAUAUGCUUGAUAACUACUCCCUCCGUCCCAUAAUAUAUGAUGUUUUUUGACACUAAGGGAGGGAGUAACUAACAAGAUCUGAUUAUUCGUUUCAUAAACGUUUACAAAAAAUAAGUACGGAAUAAAUUUUUAUAGACUAAAUUUCUAGUUCUUGUGCAAGCUGAUGAGGUUUUCUAUACCUGUAGAAGCCUUGUUCCUACUAUUCUCACCUUGUACACAUAUAUAGCAUUGUUCCUACUAUUGUAACCUUGUAUACAUACAUACUGGUUCAUUUUUUUUGUGAGAAAAGGUUCAUUUGAUUAUUGUUUACUAUUAGAAAUAAUGGUACUAUGCUGGUCAAGUGGGCACAUUGUAUACAUAUAUGCUUUUCUGUCUAUCCUUGAACUAAUACAAAAGAAGCAUGAUCAUUUCAAGCUGCACUUUCCUGAAGAAAACCGACAAACUAUAUCAUAUUUUCUGUUAAUAUUUUCCAUGCCAUUUGAAGUUCGCUUGGCAAGCAAGUAUUGUUUACUAUUUAUCAUCCUUUUGAGAUAUAUGUUCCUUUGGGAGGUGUCUAUUAUGUAGUGUAAUUCUUUGUGUUUUGGAUUCUUUGCAGGUUUGGCAUUUAGUUCGUGUUACUAUUGACCGAGGCUUUUUACCAGGAAUUACUUGGGUCUAAAAAGCUUCCUGGAAGUGGUGGUGUAGUGUUGGAGAUUAAAAUCAUGUAGUUGUGCAGUUUCAAUGAUGUUAUGUUACUUGUUUUUUAUUAAAUGCUUAUGCUUAUAACACCUUGUAAAUAUGCUUGUGAUGUUUUCAUAUUAAUUUUACUUUUUGAAAUCAGACCAGAUUGUUGGAAAUUUCUAUUGUCUUGUUGAAUGAAUAUAAUUGCAUGUCUUGUUGUAAAUUAUGAUGCAUU